This is a long non-coding RNA of Malaclemys terrapin pileata, 1205 nucleotides long. RefSeq lists it as uncharacterized. NCBI's taxonomy places the organism in Eukaryota, Metazoa, Chordata, Testudines, Emydidae. The transcript has 3 exons. The record is from RefSeq and is a predicted model, not a curated record.
UCAAACAGUACAUAUCGAAUUGAAAUUUCAUUCUGUCUGAUAAUGGGAUCCAUGAGAUUAAAAAAAUCAUGAAAGGUGUCUUGGGUUUUUUUUAGAAACCGAGGGCAUAGCUCCUUUGACUUCAAUGGAGUCAUGAUUUUACCCCAGGUGCACUUUUAUUUUUAGUUUCUGAUACACUUCAGGUAUGCAGCCCUUCUGAAUGACCCAAUUCAAUGGCUUUUGGCUUUUUCUGUUAAAGUGUGGACACAUGAGACACAUCAGUUUAACUGAUAUCGACUGAAAGGCUUGAACAUAUGGGCUGAAUCCUUCCCUCAGGGAGAUUUGUGGGCUUGCUGGAGUGAAACACAGCACAGAAUUUGACCGAAGAGGAUUGUUUGAUGUUGAGACAUUUUAUUCUUUCUCUAUUUAUAUUUUUCUAAAUAUCUGAUCUUGGUACUUUGGACAGAGGGCUGGACUGUUGGAUUGCAAGAGUUUGCCUCAAGGUGAAACAACACACCUGCUGUGCAAAUUUGUAAGUGUAACUUAACUGAAACUUCUUUAAAGUACAGAAAACUAACCAUUUGAUUUUUGAAACCUGGUGAUUUCAGCUCUCCAUGGGAAGCCACUAGUGGAUUGAGGGCACUUAGUCUUUGACUCAUUAUCUUCCCACCAUGACUUCUUAAACAAAGGCCCAUGGAGGACAAGGAAGUUGUAUAUGUUUCUGCCUGGGGACAGUGGGGUACAGCUGUUUAUUGAGAAGACUCCCUUCCUCAUUUCAUGCUAAGUCGUCUUGACCAAUAAACUGACCUACUCUGCAUCAUCCUGAUAUCUGAAGAAGAAGAUUCAGCUGCAGAUAAAUCGCAGUUGGGAUUUUCUCCUUUUUAAAAAGAAGAUAAUGAUAGUGCCAGAUAUUCCUGAAGAGCAUGAAAGUCCUUUUAUGGAGUCCUUUAUGAGGUGGUAGUAUCAUCUCAAACCAUGUCCAUACAUUUAUUCUGUAUAUUGUAUUAACAUCUCACUGGAUAAUGAAAUUCUUCCUGAAUCCCUUAAGGCCCUGUCCUUUCUUUAACUUAUAUUUGUGCCCACUUGCUCUUAUAAUUGAAGCUUAGUUUAAAUAACCUUAUAACAUUUAUCCUCUCUCAUUUCUUCAAAUUUUUGUACCCACCUUUUCUUUUCCCUUGAAGAGAGACCUGGCUCUGUUUAACCUUUUUAAAUAAAAAAGCACUUUG